Molecule: non-coding RNA, 102 nt
Organism: Paramarasmius palmivorus
Lineage: Eukaryota; Fungi; Basidiomycota; Agaricomycetes; Agaricales; Marasmiaceae
Source: the annotation of a GenBank genome assembly
UCCUCCUUAGCUCAGAGGUAGAGCGCUUCACUUGUAUUAUAAAGGAUAAAUCAUGGAUGUACAUCGAUGAAGAGGCCAGUCGUUCAAAUCGGCUAGGGGGAA